RNAcentral lists this long non-coding RNA (944 nucleotides) under Homo sapiens (human). RNAcentral's name for it is "long intergenic non-protein coding RNA 1980". The record is from RNAcentral. Lineage: Eukaryota; Metazoa; Chordata; Mammalia; Primates; Hominidae.
ACUUGGGUUCAUCUUCAUGAGGUGUAAUGGCGCCGGGAUGCGCUCUCCUCUUCUCAUUUGCCAAUUUAUUGCAGAUCCCUCCUCAAAAAAGUUUUGGGACUAACUCAGCCCCAUGGAGAUCAAGGUGAAUUAGAAAAACAACAAAACAAAACAAGAUUCAUUUUAACAUCUCAUUUUUCUAUCUCCAACUUUCCCUCCCCUCCUCCCACCCCAGGAAGAAAAGACUACGUUUGUUUCUGGUGAUACAUUCAUUGUAGGUGGGUGGGUGACUUCUAGAAGAGGAAAAUCAAGAAGAUUUGGAGAAGGAGUCUUGGAAGCUCUGGUGAAGUUUUCCAAAACUGGGAAGGACAGAGUCUGCUCAGCCUGUGUUAGUGGAGAAGAGGGAAGGAAACUGGCUGGAGGCCGCUGGACCCACAGAGGACAAUAGACAAUCUCCUGCUAGAAAUGACAAACCAGUAUCUUGAGUAAAAUAAUGACUUGGACUGUAAGAAAUUAAUUAGAAAACAUCUGUGCAAUGUAGUGGAAGAAAAAGAAAAUGAGACCCAGAAGACCCAAAUCACAAAUCAAAAGGACCUCACAGAAGAUUCUACAAUUGAGAUUAUUUAUCCUGGGAUGCCCACUGGAUCCAAAGAGAGAAACUCUAUAGAAUUAUGAUCUAGGUUUGACUGACUCCUGGCAAGAAGCCCUACCCGCCAGCCAAUUUGGAUGAGCUCUUAUGCUCCAGAUCCAUCAUGAGAAGAACAUGCCCUGGAUUCCUGCUAUCCCUUUAGCCAUGGCUCCAAAAUUAACACACACAAGGAAGACCUGAGGUCAAUCCACAGCCUGGAUUCAAGUCACCUAAUACAUAGGAGAAUCAGAGCUACCCAGCCACACUCAAUCUACGUUAACUGAACCUCAGCUGACCUGCAGAUUUAUGAGUAUGAGAAUAAAGGCUUGUUAAUGUA